This 406-nucleotide ribosomal RNA is filed under the name uncultured bacterium. RNAcentral's name for it is "partial 16S ribosomal RNA". It matches the Rfam family "Bacterial small subunit ribosomal RNA", at positions 30 to 526 of the family's 1533-position model. The record is from RNAcentral.
AUUGAACGCUAGCGGGAGGCUUUACACAUGCAAGUCGAACGAGUGGCGGACGGGUGAGUAAUAUAUCGGAACGUGCCCAGUAGCGGGGGAUAACUACUCGAAAGGGUGGCUAAUACCGCAUACUCUUGGAUGGGCCGAUAUCGGAUUAGCUAGUUGGUGGGGUAACGGCUCACCAAGGCGACGAUCCCUAGCUGGUCUGAGAGGAUGAACAGCCACACUGGGACUGAGACACGGCCCAGACUCCUACGGGAGGCAGCAGUGGGGAAUAUUGCACAAUGGGCGAAAGCCUGAUGCAGCCAUGCCGCGUGUAUGAAGAAGGCCUUAGGGUUGUAAAGUACUUUCAGUCGGGAGGCGUUACCGACAGAAGAAGCACCGGCUAACUCCGUGCCAGCCGCCGCGGUAAUUC